UACGGGGGGUGCAAGCGUUACUCGGAAUCAUUGGGCGUAAAGGGCGCGUAGGCGGCCUGGUAAGUCAGAUGUGAAAGCCCGGGGCUCAACCCCGGAAGUGCAUUUGAUACUGCUGGGCUUGAGUAUGGGAGAGGGAAGUGGAAUUCCUGGUGUAGAGGUGAAAUGCGUAGAUAUCAGGAGGAACACCGGUGGCGAAGGCGACUUCCUGGACCAAUACUGACGCUGAGGCGCGAAGGCGUGGGGAGCAAACAGG
RNAcentral lists this ribosomal RNA (253 nucleotides) under uncultured bacterium. RNAcentral's name for it is "partial 16S ribosomal RNA". It matches the Rfam family "Bacterial small subunit ribosomal RNA", at positions 524 to 776 of the family's 1533-position model. The record is from RNAcentral.